AAGCAGAAGGCCCUACACAGCAAUGAAUUAACACCAAAAGAGGCUGGAUGCUGGACAUGCGGCGACAAAGCGAUCUGUGACAAUAAGUAAAGUUAAAAAGGUCCUCCUUAAAGAAGAUUAGAAGAAAAGGUUGGAUUUGUUUUUCUACUGUGACAUUACUCAGCUACUCUUUUUUUUGAAGGUUGCCUGCCGCUGGCUUUGCAAACCGUUCUUCAGGCACCGCUCCACGUAGGAUUUGGGAUCGCAUCCGGAGAGGAGGAUCUCGCCGAGGAGAGCGAUGUAGGCGAUGGCCAGCCGGAGCGUGUCGAUUUUGGAAAGGCGCUUCUCGUAC
This is a long non-coding RNA of Gymnogyps californianus (California condor), 331 nucleotides long. RefSeq lists it as uncharacterized. NCBI's taxonomy places the organism in Eukaryota, Metazoa, Chordata, Aves, Accipitriformes, Cathartidae. The record is from RefSeq and is a predicted model, not a curated record. The transcript is spliced from 3 exons.